Molecule: ribosomal RNA, 746 nt
Filed under: uncultured archaeon
Lineage: Archaea
Description: bacterial SSU rRNA
Rfam family: Archaeal small subunit ribosomal RNA
Source: RNAcentral
CCCCGGGAAACUGGGGCUAAUUCUCGAUAGGUGAAGAACUCUGGAAUGAGUCUUUGCCAAAAAGACGUUUACGUUAUGCUCGUAGGCGUCGCCCAAGGAUGAGGCCGCGACCGAUCAGGUUGUUGGUGAGGUAAUGGCUCACCAAGCCUUUUACCGGUGCGGGCCGUGAGAGCGGGAGCCCGGAGAUGGGCACUGAGACAAGGGCCCAGGCCCUACGGGGCGCAGCAGUCGCGAAAACUUUGCAAUACACGAAAGUGUGACAGGGCUAUCCCGAGUGCCAUCCGCUGAGGAAGGCUUUUACCCAGUCUAGAACGCUGGGGGAAUGAGGAGAGGGCAAGUCUGGUGUCAGCCGCCGCGGUAAUACCAGCUCUCCGAGUGGUGUGGAUGUUUAUUGGGCCUAAAGCAUCCGUAGCUGGCUGAGUUAGUCCCUUGUUAAAUCCACCGAAUUAAUCGUUGGAUUGCGGGGGAUACUGCUCGGCUAGGGGACGAGAGAGGCAGACGGUAUUUCCGGGGUAGGGGUGAAAUCCUAUAAUCCCGGGAAGACCACCAGUGGCGAAGGCUGUCUGCUAGAACGCGCCCGACGGUGAGGGAUGAAAGCUGGGGGAGCGAACCGGAUUAGAUACCCGGGUAGUCCCAGCUGUAAACGAUGCAGGCUAGGUGUUUGGACGGCCACGUGCCGUUCUAGUGCCGCAGGGAAGCUGUUAAGCCUGCCGCCUGGGGAGUACGAUCGCAAGAUUGAAACUUAA